Lontra canadensis (Northern American river otter) is the source of this 616-nucleotide long non-coding RNA. RefSeq lists it as uncharacterized. The record is from RefSeq and is a predicted model, not a curated record. The transcript has 3 exons. NCBI's taxonomy places the organism in Eukaryota, Metazoa, Chordata, Mammalia, Carnivora, Mustelidae.
AGUCAGUUCCCCUGAGCCCAAGUCAAGGUGUCCAUAAGCUUGGAUCCUUCUGGAGGAAGGAGGCUCCCAGGGGAAAAUCUGUUGCAUUGCCUUUUUCAAUAUUCUCAUUGCUGCCUGUGUUCCUUGGCCUGUGACCUCUUCCUCCAUAGUCAAAGGACAUCACUCGAGUUUCUGCUUCCAACACCCUGUCGCCAUCUCCUCCGGUUCUGACUCCUCCUGUCGGCUUCACAAGGACUGCCAUGAGCACAGGUAAAGAAAAUCCAAACCCAGGAUUUACCAGAUUUCUGGUCAAAGCAUCUUCUGGAUGGAGACCUAAACGUACCAACUGCCCCAAGAAGACACAGGAGUAAAAAGCCAGGAAGCCGGGUUUCCAGUACCCGAUGCCCCCCUCUAGCUGCACACGUGGCCUCAGGCAAGUUACUUUGCUCCUUAGGGAUUUGUUUUUCUUAUCUGCAUCAUCUGGACUAGAUGCUUUCCUAUGAGCCUAUGGAAAGAAAACAGACUCAGCUAUAAACAUUCAGAAGUAAGUACAGCAUUGCAGAAAAGGGCAUCUUAGUUAAAGCAAUAUACAUUAGGUUCAUGUGAUUUAAGGCUCUUUUAAAAGCUCUCCAUUAGA